AUGGGUUUUUUUAUUGGACUUUCAUGCAAAAAUGGUUCUUGCCAAUUCAUUUACACCACUAAUUAUCUUGCAGAAAUAAAAGUGCUCCAUGAAGGCUUAGAUCCUGGAUCACAGACUGCAGCUCCACAGUCACACCUGCCCGUAGGAAUUUUAACAGUGUUCCCCAGGCAGACUAUGGAGCAGGAGCAGUUCUGUAUAAUGGCUUUUCUGCAGCACAGUUCCCUAUGGCUGGAAGCAAGGGCAGGACUGCCAACGUUACCAUGGAAACCCCCCAAAAAUAAAGACUUUCCCAGCCUUGUGAGAGCACACCUGCAAGGGCAAGAACGACAGUUAGCCUUUUGCCUGUCAAAAGCAAAUCUCCUUCAUUCUUGAUGUCACCUGAGGACGUUUUUUACCCUCGGACUGGAGCUUCCUGUUGUACACAUGACAAGCUUUCAGAGAAGAAACCUGGUGGUUAUGAGAGGAAACUUCCACGGAACUACACAGGUACUGGCAGCAGGAGUGGUCGUUCACACAGGGACAGCUCACUGCCACUGUUAACAAAAUCCCCAGCCCAGUCACGGUGUGGUGAAUCACUUUUGGCUGAACUUAGCAGCUUUAAGUAUGAUCAAAGUCAAGAAUAUUUGCAGUCAGUAGGAUUUCUGUACAUCACAAGGGAAACAUUUUGCUAA
This 671-nucleotide long non-coding RNA is filed under the name Phasianus colchicus (ring-necked pheasant). RNAcentral describes it as "lncRNA (ENSPCLG00000004808.1)". Lineage: Eukaryota; Metazoa; Chordata; Aves; Galliformes; Phasianidae. The record is from RNAcentral.